Molecule: non-coding RNA, 133 nt
Organism: Triticum aestivum (bread wheat)
Lineage: Eukaryota; Viridiplantae; Streptophyta; Magnoliopsida; Poales; Poaceae
Source: Rfam
ACUAUACUCCCUCCAUCUGUAAAUACUUGUCAUCAAAAUGAAUAAGGGGAUGUAUCUAGAUGUAUUUUAGUUCUAGAUACAUCUUUUUUUAUUCAUUUUGAUGACAAGUAUUUUCGGACGGAGAGAGUAUAUG